Molecule: long non-coding RNA, 1535 nt
Organism: Papaver somniferum (opium poppy)
Lineage: Eukaryota; Viridiplantae; Streptophyta; Magnoliopsida; Ranunculales; Papaveraceae
Exons: 7
Source: RefSeq, a predicted model, not a curated record
UUCUCCGCCUCUUCAUUUUUAUCUUCUCUUCACCCAGAUCUCUUAGAAAUGAACAUAAUCUGUCAGAAAUCAAUACAAUCUUCUUAGAACCAAACCGAAUUUGUGAAAUCUGAUGGACUCAGUUUGAUUUGUGAAUGAAUUUUGUGAGAUCUGCUGGACUCAAUUUUAUUUGUGAAAUGGGUUUCGAUAAGAUUGAGUUUAAGCUAUUUUCUUUAUCUCUUUUCUUUUUUUCAGAAACCCAUUAUAUAAGGGUUUUAAGCUAACUUAUUGGUAAGAUCUCUUGAACUCAUCUCACAAAUAUAUAGAAUCCCAUCUUUCAUAAACCUAAUCUUCGGUAACUAUUCUCUCUGUUUUUAUGAAUUUGGGGUUUGAGUUUGAUUACCGCAUAUCUUCACAUCAGUUAUUGAUUCUGAGAAGGAUGAUUCCGACCCUUUGGUUCAGGCUCAGGGAUAUGUAAUUGCAGCAGUAGUGUUCGGAUAUUGGACAGUUGCAAGACCAAGUGCUUUUAUUGCAGCAGUAGCUCACACUGGCGACGGUUGAUAAAGUCACCAUCUUCUGAACAGAUGGUCAAUUUUGAGGGAGAUGUGUUUUGGAGUCUUGAGAAAGAUAGAUCUCAUGGAACAUGGAUAAGGGUACUGACGUUGUUGAUGUAUAAUAGAAUGGGAAACCACCCUGCGACAGUAGAUAAAGUGUCCCAAACUUCAUGGGAGAUCAUGUGUCAUCUUAUAUUGGUGAAACAAUGCAAAUGGCCUGCACAUCAGAACAGUGCUGUAGGUAAGGUAUCCCACGGAUGGUUCCAUAUCUCGUAGAGUUCGCCAUCGGAGCUAGUUCAGUUGUGUAGCGAAUUUAUUAUACUCCCCUCAAGAAAGAUAUGUGCAUACCAGGUAAUUGGAAGAGAUGUUAUUUGUUUGAACUUCGAUGAUUUUGACAUGCUCAAAAGUACACUUUAUGUUGUGAACUAUCUUUUGCACUCAGCAGAAUAUCCCUUUUCUGAACUAUGUUCGAUUUAUUUAUUCUCUCCAUACUCUUUUAGUUGAUUUGAUUCUUUACAUUCAAUUUGAUUUAUUAUAGCACUGGAAAGGUCCGAAAGAAUUUUUUAAAUGAUGCAUCUAUUGGCAGCAAGCACAUGCUGUUGGAAUUUUUCUUGGAGCUAAUAUAGUCGAAAGUGUAGGCUAAGAAUGAGCAGUGCAGUUGAUAGUUAAGGCCAAUACUACACUGAAUCCGGGCUAAGAACGAUAGGUGAGUAAAUCUAUUGCUUUUUUCCAACAUAUUAAACAUAAUAAACAGGCAGUUGGACUCUCAGCAUGGCCCUUUUAUCUAGUCCAGUUAUCAAACAUUUUUAUCUCAAGAUUUGAGAGUACUGAUGACCGAGGAUUGAAUCAAUGAAAAUCAGCAGUCCGUUUUUAUGAGUUGAUGAUCAAUAUAUUGUUAAUGAUGCCUAAAAUAUCAGAGUAGUGUCAAUUGUCUUCAUAGAUGUGGGUUCAAACUAAGUCCAUAAUGUUGUAAAAUGUUGCAAGGGUAAGGGUUUUAUAUUA